CACGUGAGCGAUCUGCCCUCGACACUGGGAUAGCCCGGGGAAACCCGGAUUAAUACCGGAUAGCCUUUCGAGCCCACGGGCUCGUCAGAAAAGAUGGCUUCGGCUUUCGGUCGAGGAGGAGCUUGCGGCGGAUUAGCUUGUUGGUGAGGUAACGGCUCACCAAGGCGACGAUCCGUAGCUGGUCUGAGAGGACGAUCAGCCACACUGGGACUGAGACACGGCCCAGACUCCUACGGGAGGCAGCAGUGGGGAAUCUUGCGCAAUGGGCGAAAGCCUGACGCAGCGACGCCGCGUGAGGGA
Molecule: ribosomal RNA, 300 nt
Filed under: uncultured Gaiellaceae bacterium
Lineage: Bacteria; Bacillati; Actinomycetota; Thermoleophilia; Gaiellales; Gaiellaceae
Description: bacterial SSU rRNA
Rfam family: Bacterial small subunit ribosomal RNA
Source: RNAcentral